Long non-coding RNA from Notothenia coriiceps (black rockcod), 363 nucleotides. RefSeq lists it as uncharacterized. The transcript has 3 exons. NCBI's taxonomy places the organism in Eukaryota, Metazoa, Chordata, Actinopteri, Perciformes, Nototheniidae. The record is from RefSeq and is a predicted model, not a curated record.
GUGAACCAGUGGACGUCCUCUCCGGCUCUCUGUCCUCCAUUCAACCUGCCAGAAACCACCAACAACGUGUCCCUGGAUCAGUGGAGCCUCCUCUCUGGCUCCUCCCUCCUCGUUGACUCCUCCCUCUCCACCUAUGACAUCAUCCACCUGAGCCGUGACAUCGCCGCGGGAGACCGGGACGCCACCAGGGAUUGGUGUCUCCAUGCCUGUCAGGAGGCGGAGUCUUGUGUGGGCGUGUCCCUCAGUGAGAAGGGGGGGGCGACCCGCUGCGUCCUCUACCCAGACACCUCCACCUGUGGACUAAGCUCCGCCCCCAAUGCACCCAGCCCCGCCUCCUCCUGCAGGCUGGUCAUCAGAGAGCCC